RNAcentral lists this ribosomal RNA (473 nucleotides) under uncultured bacterium. Its description in RNAcentral is "partial 16S ribosomal RNA". It matches the Rfam family "Bacterial small subunit ribosomal RNA", at positions 355 to 815 of the family's 1533-position model. The record is from RNAcentral.
UGGGGAAUAUUGCACAAUGGGCGCAAGCCUGAUGCAGCCAUGCCGCGUGUGUGAAGAAGGCCUUCGGGUUGUAAAGCACUUUCAGCGAGGAGGAAGGUGGUGAACUUAAUACGUUCAUCAAUUGACGUUACUCGCAGAAGAAGCACCGGCUAACUCCGUGCCAGCAGCCGCGGUAAUACGGAGGGUGCAAGCGUUAAUCGGAAUUACUGGGCGUAAAGCGCACGCAGGCGGUUUGUUAAGUCAGAUGUGAAAUCCCCGGGCUCAACCUGGGAACUGCAUUUGAAACUGGCAAGCUAGAGUCUCGUAGAGGGGGGUAGAAUUCCAGGUGUAGCGGUGAAAUGCGUAGAGAUCUGGAGGAAUACCGGUGGCGAAGGCGGCCCCCCUGGANGAAGACUGACGCUCAGGUGCGAAAAGGCGUGGGGGAGCAAAACAGAUUAGAUACCCUGGUAGUCCACGCUGUAAAACGAUGUCGA